Molecule: long non-coding RNA, 265 nt
Organism: Fundulus heteroclitus (mummichog)
Lineage: Eukaryota; Metazoa; Chordata; Actinopteri; Cyprinodontiformes; Fundulidae
Exons: 3
Source: RefSeq, a predicted model, not a curated record
GACGGAUGGUGAUCAGCACUUUUGUUCUUUGGUUACAUUUAUCUAAGGCCUUUUACACACUUGGACAUUUCGUAUGUACGUCAAGCAUAAAGCAGCCAUCAAGGAUUCCUCGUGAUUCAGGGACACGUCUCAUUCUGGCCACUGCUCCAAUUACUCUGAGAGUCUCUGCAGAGAACGAUACUUACCCGAAGCCAGCGACGACGCGGCAGAGAAGGAAGACUCCAUAUCCCUGGACGAAAGAUGACAGGAAGGCAAAGAAGCCGUU